AUUCCUUGUCGGGUAAGUUCCGACCUGCACGAAUGGUGUAACGACUUGGGCACUGUCUCGGCCAUGAGCUCGGUGAAAUUGUGGUAUCGGUGAUGACGCCGAUUACCCGCAGCGGGACGAAAAGACCCCGUGAACCUUUACUACAACUUUACAUUGGCUUUAGCUGUAUCAUGUGUAGGAUAGGCGGGAGACUUAGAAGUGGCGUCGCCAGGCGUUGUGGAGUCACCCUUGAAAUAC
RNAcentral lists this ribosomal RNA (237 nucleotides) under Lotharella globosa. RNAcentral describes it as "partial Bacterial large subunit ribosomal RNA". It matches the Rfam family "Bacterial large subunit ribosomal RNA", at positions 1964 to 2200 of the family's 2925-position model. The record is from RNAcentral. Lineage: Eukaryota; Cercozoa; Chlorarachniophyceae.